UCAAAUUGUGUGCCAUCACUUACUCCCCUCAAUGGUUGAAGGCAAUGAUGCUAUGCAGCCUAUGCCUACAUCGUCGAUGCAAUCUUCGUAUGCUUCAGGGGGCUUGACUCCAUAUGUUAAUCUUUAAAGUAAAGGGAGGAUACUAGAUGAACAUCGUUCUAGGAAAAAAAGGCCCUAGAUUACCUCUACAUUAACAGAUUCCUCAAUCCCUAUUUUAGACUAUUCAUUUUGACUCUUCACUGUGUAACAAUCAUGGGGGACUUAAAUCACCAUAAUAUUAAAAAAAAGUCCUUGUCAAGGCAAUGGUCA
This 309-nucleotide long non-coding RNA is filed under the name Actinidia chinensis (golden kiwifruit). RNAcentral describes it as "long non-coding RNA (ACHI_LNC003561)". Lineage: Eukaryota; Viridiplantae; Streptophyta; Magnoliopsida; Ericales; Actinidiaceae. The record is from RNAcentral.